This 211-nucleotide unclassified non-coding RNA is filed under the name plant metagenome. RNAcentral describes it as "partial contains small subunit ribosomal RNA and internal transcribed spacer 1". The stretch from base 1 to 46 matches the Rfam family "Eukaryotic small subunit ribosomal RNA", at positions 1786 to 1831 of the family's 1831-position model. The record is from RNAcentral.
AAGUCGUAACAAGGUCUCCGUUGGUGAACCAGCGGAGGGAUCAUUAAAAAAGAGAGUUUAACGACUCCUCAACCCUUGUGAACAUACCUAAAUCGUUGCUUCGGCGGGCAGCCCCAGGGCGGGGCCGCAGCCUGCCUAGCAGGCGCCCGCCGAAAGCGCUACAAACUCUUGUUUUACAGUAUCUCUGAGUCUAAAUACAAAUGAGUCAGAA